This 230-nucleotide ribosomal RNA is filed under the name uncultured bacterium. RNAcentral's name for it is "partial 16S ribosomal RNA". It matches the Rfam family "Bacterial small subunit ribosomal RNA", at positions 99 to 334 of the family's 1533-position model. The record is from RNAcentral.
CGGACGGGUGAGUAUGUCUGGGAAACUGCCCGAUGGAGGGGGAUAACUACUGGAAACGGUAGCUAAUACCGCAUAACGUCGCAAGACCAAAGAGGGGGACCUUGGGCCUCUUGCCAUCGGAUGUGCCCAGAUGGGAUUAGCUAGUAGGUGGGGUAACGGCUCACCUAGGCGACGAUCCCUAGCUGGUCUGAGAGGAUGACCAGCCACACUGGAACUGAGACACGGUCCAG